Molecule: ribosomal RNA, 371 nt
Filed under: uncultured bacterium
Lineage: Bacteria
Description: bacterial SSU rRNA
Rfam family: Bacterial small subunit ribosomal RNA
Source: RNAcentral
GAGUGCCUCGAGCGUUAUCCGGAAUCAUUGGGCGUAAAGGGUGCGUAGGCGGCGAUAUUAGUCUCCCGUAAAAUCUCUGGGCUCAACCCAGAGUCCGCGGGAGAAACGGUAUUGCUAGAGGAUGGUAGGGGUCUCUGGAACUCAUGGUGUAGCGGUGAAAUGCGUUGAUAUCAUGGGGAACACCAAAAGCGAAGGCAAGAGACUGGACCACUCCUGACGCUGAAGCACGAAAGCGUGGGUCGCGAAUGGGAUUAGAUACCCCAGUAGUCCACGCCCUAAACGAUGAUCACUCGAUUUGAGGAGUAUCGACCCUCCUCGAGUCCAAGCUAACGCGUUAAGUGAUCCGCCUGGGUAGUACGGCCGCAAGGUUG